Molecule: ribosomal RNA, 198 nt
Filed under: uncultured eukaryote
Lineage: Eukaryota
Description: partial large subunit ribosomal RNA
Rfam family: Bacterial large subunit ribosomal RNA
Source: RNAcentral
UUUUAUCAAGAUGCUUGAAAGUUUCAGGCGGGCAGUUUUACUGGGGCGGUAGCCUCCUAAAAGGUAACGGAGGCGUACAAAGGUUUUUUCAGUCUGGACGGAAAUUAGUUGUAGAGUGUAAAGACAUAAGAAAGCUUGACUGUAAGACUAAAAAGUCGAGCAGAGACUAAAGUCGGUCUUAGUGAUCCGACGGUACUG